AGCGCUGGGCAGGGAGGCUGGAGGGGCAGUGAAGAGGGUGGUCGCGUCCUUCUGAGCAGUGAGAGGAUGAGCUGCCGGUGAAGGAGUUGUUCCCUGCUGCGGAGCGCGCUGGGCUUGCUGCUCCUCCCUCUCCCACCACUUAGAUAGGCUGCUGACAGAGGGUUCCAGUCCUUGGAUCCGUAGCAAUUAGCAGGGCAAUAAAAAUGUCAGCCUGACAUGCUCAGGUGGAAAACGACGUGGAAAGUACAAUGGCGUGUGGUUAACUCCGCGUUCUGUGGCGAGAGAACAAGCGGCUGAGCACGUGGAGCCUGGAGCAGGGUGGCAUCGCAAGGAAUGAGGUGUCACCCACCGCACGUUGGCUUGAUAGGACAUUCCUUGUUUCCUGUCGGUUCCAAGUGCACCUCUUAAUGAUGCAACGUUUUGAUCCUUGCUAUUCGGCCUUCCAAAUACAAAUCGAGUAGUUGCAUCAUCUGCCCAUGAAUAUCAGAGUGAGAACUCGCAAACGUUCAGAUGAUCAAAUGUGAGCGCCGUGAGGCACCGCUCUGCGUUAGUGCCUCAGUCAGAGCACAGACUGAAGUGGAGCGGAAUUGCCAACCUCCUGACUUCACUGCCAGGAAUGUAAAUCAACAUUAAAGAUGAUUUUUAAGUGAAAUAGCAAGUUAAACAUUUGUACAAACACAUCAUCAAAUAGAGGUUGUACUGCCUCUUUCUAAACCUCUUGCCUGCUGGCAAAAAUAAAACUGUUCCAGUGACAUUUUCUCUGCUCUGCUGUGACAAGGGCUGCAUAAAUAUAGACACCGUGGAUUAGAAUAGACUUCAGCAAUCUCCAGCUUCCUUUCUAGCAGCCUCUUCUGCAGUUUCCCAUAGCUAUGGGUGAAAAACAGGGAGCCUGAAAUGGGGUGAAUCCUCUGUUACUACCAGGAGCUGAGGAGGUUGCUGCUCUUUGCCAAGAAAGUGUGGUCAGGUUGCUGGCACACAUGGGGCAGGCAAGGACUGGUAUCCAGGGCCAGCAGGGGUGAUGCUUCCUCAUGUGUGCAUGGCACUUCAAGAUUUGGGAUCCUAUGGGCCUCAAGAACAGCUUUUCUCUGGGUGCAUUUCACUUCUCAUGAGCAGGCAGCUGAAAAAUUGGACUCACAUGGGAUACGUGUGGAAAGCAGAACAAUAUGCCAAGACAAGAUGAAACAGAUGUUUCAGGUCUACAUUAUAAUUCAGACAGAAAUUUAAAUCAGCUGAAGACAUCAGAACAAAAUGCUUUUUGUGACCUAGAGAUCCGCAGUCCUGGAAGGUACUUGUGUGGGCACAGCCCCAAGAGAAAGGCGAGUUUCUUACCACGUUCCUGCACACCAAUCAGAUGCAGUGUUGCCCAGGUACGUCAGCCAACCUGGGCUUGUGCAAGAAGCUUGCUGGGGGUGUGUGUUUGCAUACCAUGUACUCACACAAGAUUUCACAAACUCUGUGCUGCUUAUGACUAGCCCUCACCACUGAGGCUCCUUGCCCUCCUUUUGCAUGUUUGAAACGCUGUUUUCCCCAUUAGGUCCCCUCAAGGGCAAGGCACCCACACCAGCAAUCUGACCGCCCUACUUGAUGCUAAAGUGAUGAAAGAGUGUGGAGUGGAUGGGGCCUUUUUUACUCUUUUUUACUGAGGAAAAAAGUGAACUCAAUGCCAGGCACGGAUCCCAGGCUGCGGAGUUCAAAUCGUACUCUGAGCACAUAAUUCCCAUUUGUGUUUGUGUGCACGCAGGGCGAGGGUGGGAGCUGGAGGGGGGGGGGUGAAUA
This is a long non-coding RNA of Numida meleagris (helmeted guineafowl), 1776 nucleotides long. RefSeq lists it as uncharacterized. The record is from RefSeq and is a predicted model, not a curated record. The transcript has 5 exons. Lineage: Eukaryota; Metazoa; Chordata; Aves; Galliformes; Numididae.